Molecule: long non-coding RNA, 1620 nt
Organism: Bombus huntii
Lineage: Eukaryota; Metazoa; Arthropoda; Insecta; Hymenoptera; Apidae
Exons: 3
Source: RefSeq, a predicted model, not a curated record
AUUAAAGAUGUCCAAUUCUUUUUUGUUUCCACCUAACUAACUGAUUUAAAGUUGUCACUUUACUUUACUCAACAACGCUUAACAUUCUUCUCGAAGAAGUUUCUAAUAUUUUUCAUGGAAAUAUGCAGCCAAAAAAAGCUUUUGUCGCAUGUAGGCCGAAAAACGUACAAAGUUUCAUGCACGUAUUGUUUAUGUUUGGCCCGAUCCACCUAUCAUAUCUCUAACACGACAUGGCAGAUUAAGGGGUUAAGAACAAAGUGUCGGCCCUGUGCUGUCCAUGCUUCGAGCUCGUGUACCUAUUUACAUCCACCACGUCGUUUCUUUGAACCGACUUCAAACUGUAGACUGACGUAGAGUACAAGAGGCAACUACGAUUACGACAGAGAGUGAAAAGCGACAAAGAGACAACUUUGAUCUCGCAAAGAAUCAACAGUCGUUAAUUAGACACGUGCCAGCUACGUUUCACGAGGCAGCCUCGUAUUGUCUGUACGCAGUGAAAUUUGCCAAUGAUCCGACGUCAUGAUCCGCCACGGCGCGUGUAGGACGCUAAGAAUAUCCUGGAAGGUCCUGGCUACAGGGUGAGGAGGAUGACGAACCUUUUGGCGGGAGGACUGAGAUCUAACUCUCCCAAGAAACCAGCGAUAUGUAUUUCUAACCAAGCAAGCAGUAUAAGUACACUCGUAUGCGACCCGGCUAUCAAAAAUACAUACAUAUGUAUAAAGCUGCCAAAUCUAUCGCCGGUAUGAAACCUCAAUAAUACGUCACGUAUCUACACCGGAUCUAGACGUCGAGAUUCAAAAUAAAUCCAUGGUAAUAAUUCUUAUAUUAAUAGUUAUAAGUAUGACAGCUAAGUAUUGAAGAAAUUAAAGGGAAUAUAAAUUACAACUAUUUUACACGAUGAAGCAGCAUGCGGGUACGCGUUGCGCACGCCAAGAAACGCGCGCACACAAUUACAUCAAGUUACGCAUCCACACGUAUACACACUGAUGCUCACACCGAUCGAGACAAUGCGUCAAAGCAGAGGCGGUAAUAAUCAUUCACCUUUCAUGUAAUAUCAAAAACUAAUAGAUCUAAUCUCUUCAAGGCAACAAACGAGAAUAUAUACCGAAUAUAAUCUGCAGAAGAAAUGAAACAUCGGAUAGUUGAAACGACUCAAGAAUGGAUCCACCGAGAACACGAUACAAUUGCGUUCAUACGCGACGAGUUUCUCGCGAUAUCUUUCACGGACACGCGGGAAAAUCAUUCAGCCGAUAUCUGGUAAAAUCGUAAAAUUACACCAACGAAAGUUCGAUCAUGGUUUCUGUUAUCAAACAAGACACUAUUAAGAAUCUAUGAGAGAGAAACUGAGCGAAAGUAUCCGGCCGUGGUACUCGACUGUUCGAUUUCUGCACACCAAAUUCGAUAUCCCUAUCACAAACUUUUCCAGCUGAAUAACGAACGUCGUAAUCACGAAAAAUAUUGUUAAUGAUUCUAACAUCGACAUGAAUAUGUAGUAGAGUAUUUAUGAAUUUAUAAAACAGAGUUGUUAGACAUAUAUUCACCACAAUAUCGAGAUGCACGAUAGUAGGCGCGGCUUUUCACCCCGUAUAGAGAGAAACGAUUUCGUGUCAGUGAUUUGUC